AACAGUUAGAAAUGGCUGCUAAUACCGCAUAAGACCACGGUACUGCAUGGUACAGUGGUAAAAACUCCGGUGGUAUGAGAUGGACCCGCGUCUGAUUAGGUAGUUGGUGAGGUAACGGCCCACCAAGCCGACGAUCAGUAGCCGACCUGAGAGGGUGACCGGCCACAUUGGGACUGAGACACGGCCCAGACUCCUACGGGAGGCAGCAUG
This 210-nucleotide ribosomal RNA is filed under the name uncultured bacterium. Its description in RNAcentral is "partial 16S ribosomal RNA". It matches the Rfam family "Bacterial small subunit ribosomal RNA", at positions 145 to 353 of the family's 1533-position model. The record is from RNAcentral.